GGAGGUAGUGACAAUAAAUCACAAUGCGGGACUCCUAGUCUUGCAAUUGGAUUGAGAACAACGUACAACUCUUAUCGAUAAGCCAUUGGAGGGCAAGUCUGGUGCCAGCAGCCGCGGUAAUUCCAGCUCCAAUAGCGUAUAUUAACGUUGUUGCAGUUAAAAAGCUCGUAGUUGAAGUGAGGGAGUGUGUAGUAGGACCGACUUGAUCGGAACUGCUGCAACCUCCCCCCUCCAAUCGGUGUAGUGGGGUAUUCAGUUAUUCUACUACUCCUUUGGUCGUUUACUGUGAGAAAAUUAGAGUGUUCAAAGCGGGCGUUUGUUUGAAUAGAUUAGCAUGGAAUAAUGAUUGAAGGCUUUCGUGUUCGAUUUGAUUGGUUUGUUCAUGGAAGCAAGGUUAAAAGGAACAGUUGGGGGUAUUCAUAUUCACUAGUUAGAGGUGAAAUUCUCGGAUUUAUGGAAGAUGAACAAGUGCGAAAGCA
RNAcentral lists this ribosomal RNA (479 nucleotides) under Blastocystis sp. RNAcentral's name for it is "SSU rRNA". It matches the Rfam family "Eukaryotic small subunit ribosomal RNA", at positions 460 to 953 of the family's 1831-position model. The record is from RNAcentral. Lineage: Eukaryota; Bigyra; Opalinata; Blastocystidae.